Molecule: ribosomal RNA, 433 nt
Filed under: uncultured bacterium
Lineage: Bacteria
Description: partial 16S ribosomal RNA
Rfam family: Bacterial small subunit ribosomal RNA
Source: RNAcentral
AACGAACGCUGGCGGCAGGCCUAACACAUGCAAGUCGAGCGAGGACUUCGGUCCUAGCGGCGGACGGGUGAGUAACGCGUGGGAACGUGCCCUUUGCUUCGGAAUAGCCCUGGGAAACUGGGAGUAAUACCGGAUGAGCCCUUUGGGGGAAAGAUUUAUCGGCGAAGGAUCGGCCCGCGUUGGAUUAGGUAGUUGGUGGGGUAAUGGCCUACCAAGCCGACGAUCCAUAGCUGGUUUGAGAGGAUGAUCAGCCACACUGGGACUGAGACACGGCCCAGACCCCCGCGGGAGGCGGCGGGGGGGAUUUUUAGACAAGGGGGAAACCCUUAAUCUACCCGUGCCGUGGGAGAGUGGAGGCCCUGGGGGUUGAAAACCUUUUCCAGCGGGGAAGAUAAGGAGGGCCCCAAAAAAAGAACCCCCGCCUACCCCCUGC